ACGCGUAGCUGUUUGCGGAACGUGGCCGGUGAUAAGAACGUUGCACACCGGUGAUAAGCACGUGCACUUCGCUGCGCUUUGGUCGCGGGCAAAUCCAUCGACCGCCGGUUGGGUGAGGGACCGUUGUCGGUCCGGGCGGCCGCGCACCGUCCCUCACCCGGGCGGCCGACGUGGACUCGCCCGGACCAUGACCUGCCUCAACGCGUGUGCCGGUGCGCAGGCCGAGCCAAGGGGUCCCCCGUGCGCGCAAUCCGCUGACAGCUGCUCGACAUUUUGGGCACCCGCUGUCCGUACGUGUGCAUUUUGAGUCGCACCGUUCACGGACGCAUCACUUGCUCGGAUUCGUACCAGGGUCCCAGGACGCCGAGCGCUCGGCCCGGUGAUCCGGUGGGUCGCGGUCCGUCGUCGGCUGUCGGUCGUAGGUCGUCGGUCGUUUCGUCGCACGGCCACGCCGCCGCCACCGACUGCCGAGUGCCCCGAGUGUGCAGGCUGCAGACUCCCGACGGCGGACCGCCAGCACAUUGCCCGCACCCCGGUAAAAGGUCGCCCGGGCCCUAACAUGACACCCGUCGAGGCUCAGGGCUUUUGCGUGCUGCUGCUGAUGAUCAUCUAUUAUUACGUCUCGCUGUGGUCGUUUUUCUCCCGUUACGACGGCACGGUCAUCGACCGCCGAGGCUUUUACAUAUUUUUUUGGUUGUUUUAAACACGACCGGCGCGCCGACGCCGCCGACACACCAGCUCAUUGCAGUCAGUGCAACUACCAACGCGGCGGUCGUGCCCGUUAUAAUAAUAUGUCAAUAUAUUAUUGUUUGUUGAUUUUCCUCUAUUGCUACAUCGAUACCUAAUAACUUCAAUAAAGCAACAUACCUCCUAAUAGCAAGUAAUUUAAAGGUACUCAUAUUCCUCUACUACGCGUAUACUGGCACUGAUAAAAAGGCAGUACCUACCUAACCUUGAAAAAAUUGUUUAUACAAUAAAUUUCCUACAGACGAACUCAAUGAUUCAGAUUCAAAUACAUACUGCCGUAUUGCCGUUAGCUAUGGCCACAUCAGCAGAACCUAAUUCACCGGUAACUACAUCAGCACCUGUCUUCUUUAAAAAAUUAUUAUUAAUUUGUCAUUGAAUCGUUGUAUAUAAUAUAGAAAACCAAAAGUAUCCGUAGUGAAAUGUUGCAGCACCUAUACGUAAUUCCAAAGUAAAUUUAUCGUUCCCAAUAUACCCCAUUUAGAUUAUCAUAAUAUUAUAUGUUAAUUUAUUUUCGUUCAUAGAAAAAAAGCAACUAAUUAAUAAAACACAAUGAUGACUAUGUAUAACAAUUAAAUUAUAAUAUUAUGAACAAUACAAUUAUGCAACCCAGAUUACCUAUACAGCUAAAAAUAUAUUUUUGUUCAAAAUAUGUUAAAGGUAUAUAAAUUUAAAUUAGUUUGUUAGUUCAGAAUAUUCGUAGAAGAAUAAAGAUACUCUUUUUAUCGAAAAUGAAUUGUCAAAAUUAAAAUAAAUUUAUUAGAUGUGUGAAAUACCCCCUACAAGAAUAUUAGGUAUUCACUAUACCGUAUACGUAUACAACAGUAGUAUUGAUACUGCAAAGUUCCAAAUUUCUUCAUUGUCUAAUGUGUAAUGUGUAUUAUGAAUAUAUUGAAACUAACAUAUUUUCUUAACUUUGAUAUUAUAACAUAGGCGUGUCUACAGGUCAUGCUUAUCAUGCAUAGGCAUGACCUGCGAAAUUUGAUCUAACUUAGGUACAUUACCUAUAAAUUGCGG
Acyrthosiphon pisum (pea aphid) is the source of this 1761-nucleotide long non-coding RNA. RefSeq lists it as uncharacterized. The transcript has 3 exons. Lineage: Eukaryota; Metazoa; Arthropoda; Insecta; Hemiptera; Aphididae. The record is from RefSeq and is a predicted model, not a curated record.